RNAcentral lists this non-coding RNA (253 nucleotides) under uncultured bacterium. RNAcentral's name for it is "partial 16S ribosomal RNA". It matches the Rfam family "Bacterial small subunit ribosomal RNA", at positions 524 to 776 of the family's 1533-position model. The record is from RNAcentral. RNAcentral also lists the same sequence under 1 other name.
UACGAAGGGGGCUAGCGUUGCUCGGAAUUACUGGGCGUAAAGGGUGCGUAGGCGGGUCUUUAAGUCAGGGGUGAAAUCCUGGAGCUCAACUCCAGAACUGCCUUUGAUACUGAGGAUCUUGAGUUCGGGAGAGGUGAGUGGAACUGCGAGUGUAGAGGUGAAAUUCGUAGAUAUUCGCAAGAACACCAGUGGCGAAGGCGGCUCACUGGCCCGAUACUGACGCUGAGGCACGAAAGCGUGGGGAGCAAACAGG